CUGGUAUUUGGAAGUGGGACCACUCUCACAGUUGAACCAAACAAUCAAAAAAGUUCUGACCCACAAGUGAUUGUGUUGAAAUCAAAGGAACUGGAAGAAGGUGGCAGCAUGGGGAAAGCAGCUUGUUUGGCAAGGAAUUCCUCUACGAAGAACAUCAGCUUGGAGAUGUCCUCUGAUGAAGUGGUGUAUGAACAGAGUGCACCCGUUUUGACAUCCCAGGGGCUGUACAGUACAAUCAAAGUGGUGAAUGUGACAGGAGGCACAGAGGUCACCUGCAUGGCACAGUUCAGCUCCAGCACCGUUACAGCCAGCGCAGCUCUGCCAGAAAAGGAGGCUGAAAAACCAGCAACGGAGAAGGUUUGCAACACCACAGACACCUCUGCUCAAGAUACCUAUGUGGAGAAAAAGAACAUGCUUUCUGUGGCUGUGUUGGGUUUGAGAGUCCUGCUGGUGAAAACUGUCACCUUCAACACACUUAUGAGCAUCAAGUUGUUUCUUUUCUGA
Molecule: non-coding RNA, 504 nt
Organism: Merops nubicus (carmine bee-eater)
Lineage: Eukaryota; Metazoa; Chordata; Aves; Coraciiformes; Meropidae
Source: the annotation of a RefSeq genome assembly